Molecule: ribosomal RNA, 753 nt
Filed under: uncultured Comamonadaceae bacterium
Lineage: Bacteria; Pseudomonadati; Pseudomonadota; Betaproteobacteria; Burkholderiales; Comamonadaceae
Description: bacterial SSU rRNA
Rfam family: Bacterial small subunit ribosomal RNA
Source: RNAcentral
AUUGAACGCGGGCGGCAUGCCUUACACAUGCAAGUCGAACGGCAGCACGGGAGCAAUCGUGGUGGCGAGUGGCGAACGGGUGAGUAAUACAUCGGAACGUGCCCAAUCGUGGGGGAUAACGCAGCGAAAGCUGUGCUAAUACCGCAUACGAUCUACGGAUGAAAGCAGGGGAUCGCAAGACCUUGCGCGAAUGGAGCGGCCGAUGGCAGAUUAGGUAGUUGGUGAGGUAAAGGCUCACCAAGCCGUCGAUCUGUAGCUGGUCUGAGAGGACGACCAGCCACACUGGGACUGAGACACGGCCCAGACUCCUACGGGAGGCAGCAGUGGGGAAUUUUGGACAAUGGGCGAAAGCCUGAUCCAGCCAUGCCGCGUGCAGGAUGAAGGCCUUCGGGUUGUAAACUGCUUUUGUACGGAACGAAACGGCCUUUUCUGAUAAAGAGGGCUAAUGACGGUACCGUAAGAAUAAGCACCGGCUAACUACGUGCCAGCAGCCGCGGUAAUACGUAGGGUGCAAGCGUUAAUCGGAAUUACUGGGCGUAAAGCGUGCGCAGGCGGUUAUGUAAGACAGUUGUGAAAUCCCCGGGCUCAACCUGGGAACCGCAUCUGUGACUGCAUAGCUAGAGUACGGUAGAGGGGGAUGGAAUUCCGCGUGUAGCAGUGAAAUGCGUAGAUAUGCGGAGGAACACCGAUGGCGAAGGCAAUCCCCUGGACCUGUACUGACGCUCAUGCACGAAAGCGUGGGGAGCAAACAGG